AGUGAACGCUGGCGGUAGGCCUAACACAUGCAAGUCGAACGGCAGCACGGGAGAGCUUGCUCUCUGGGUGGCGAGUGGCGGACGGGUGAGGAAUACAUCGGAAUCUACUCUGUCGUGGGGGAUAACGUAGGGAAACUUACGCUAAUACCGCAUACGACCUACGGGUGAAAGCAGGGGACCUUCGGGCCUUGCGCGAUUGAAUGAGCCGAUGUCGGAUUAGCUAGUUGGCGGGGUAAAGGCCCACCAAGGCGACGAUCCGUAGCGGGUCUGAGAGGAUGAUCAGCCACACUGGAACUGAGACACGGUCCCGACUCCUACGGGAGGCAGCAGUGGGGAAUAUUGGACAAUGGGCGCAAGCCUGAUCCAGCCAUACCGCGUGGGUGAAGAAGGCCUUCGGGUUGUAAAGCCCUUUUGUUGGGAAAGAAAUCCAGCUGGCUAAUACCCGGUUGGGAUGACGGUACCCAAAGAAUAAGCACCGGCUAACUUCGUGCCAGCAGCCGCCGCCG
This 506-nucleotide ribosomal RNA is filed under the name uncultured bacterium. Its description in RNAcentral is "partial 16S ribosomal RNA". It matches the Rfam family "Bacterial small subunit ribosomal RNA", at positions 29 to 523 of the family's 1533-position model. The record is from RNAcentral.